This 1809-nucleotide ribosomal RNA is filed under the name Triticum aestivum (bread wheat). RNAcentral describes it as "partial small subunit ribosomal RNA". Lineage: Eukaryota; Viridiplantae; Streptophyta; Magnoliopsida; Poales; Poaceae. The record is from RNAcentral.
AUGGCGUCGGCGGCGUCCAAGUGCUGCUACUACGAGAUCCUCGGACUCUCCCGAGACUGCUCCCCGACCGACAUCAAGCUCGCGUUCCGGCGCCUCGCGCUUACCCUCCACCCCGACAAGCAGGCCCCGGGCUCCGACGUCGCCGCCGCCACCGCCGCCUUCCAGGAGCUGCAACACGCGCACUCCGUCCUCUCCGACCCCCAGGAGCGCGCCUACUACGACUCCCACCGCUCCCAGAUCCUCUUCGCCGACCCCGUCUCCUCCCGUUCCGGCACCGCCUCCGCCUCACCCGUCCCCGACCUAUUCUCCUUCUUCUCCACCUCCGCCUUUUCCGGCUUCUCUGACUCCGGCCGCGGAUUCUACAAGGUCUACGGCGACGUAUUCGACAAGGUAUACGCCCAGGAGGUCGCCUAUGCCCGCCGCAUGGGCAUCCCCACCGACUCCAUCUCCACGCCGCCGGUCAUUGGCAACCUCGACUCCCCUUACACCCAGGUCACCGCUUUCUACUCCUACUGGCUGGGUUUCGGCUCGGUUAUGGACUUCGGGUGGGCGGCCGAGUGGGACGCAUCCCGUGGGGAGAACCGCCGUGUUAGGAGGCUCAUGGAGGAGGAUAACAAGAAGGCAAUGCGCAAGGCGCGGCGGGAGUAUAACGAUGCUGUGAGAGGGUUGGCUGCCUUCUGUAAGAAGAGAGAUAAGAGGGUGGUUGACAUGGCACUGCGGAAGAAGGCAGAGGAAGAGAAAAAGAAGAAGGAAGAGAUGGAGCGAAAGAAGGCUGAGGAGAAGAAGAAGAAGGAGCGGGCAAUGGCGUAUCAAGAGCCUGAGUGGGCGAGGGUGGACGAGAUCGAGUUAGCCUUUGAGGAAGAGGAUGAUGAGGAGACGAGGGAAAAGGCCAAGGAGGAGCUGUACUGUGUUGCCUGUAAUAAGAAGUUCAAGUCGGAGAAGCAGUGGAAGAACCAUGAGCAGUCAAGGAAGCAUAAGGAUAAGGUGGCUGAUCUGAGGAUGGCCUUUAAGGAGGAGGAGGCUCUAAAGGAAGCCGAGGAGGAGGCAGGAGGUGAGUGGGAAGAAGUUGAUGUGGGGUUCGACUUCAAGCCUGCUAACGAGUCCGAGGAGAGUGAUUGGUCAGAUGCUGCAGAAGAGUUGGCUGAGGAGUUGGACGAGGGCUUGGAGGUGGCGGAUGAAGACAAUGGUAAUAAGGACUUCAAUAAUGGGGAGCAGGAGGUUGGUUCAUAUGAUGAGACAAGUGUGUUGGAGGCGAUGUUGUCAAGCCGUAAGAACAAGAAAAGUGGCUAUGUGGUUCCUCAAGAGGAAGCUCCUUCUGUUGUUACAGAGGAUGAUAACAGUGAAGAUAGAAAUUCUGAAGUUAAGAGUGUCAAGAAGAAAGGACGCCGGAGGCGGGCAUCAAAGAAGGGACAAGAUGAAGGUAGUUAUGCUGAUAGUGGACAUGGUAUGAAGAAUAAUGUUCCGUAUGAGGAAUCUGUGCAUGAUAAUGAUGAAAAUGAUGCUGAUGAUAAGGCGGAAGGUCCACCCACUUCUAAUGAUGACGGCACAUCAGCAAGCGUUGGAAGCCAACAGAACGAAAAGACUGACAAUCCUAAAAAGAACAAAAAGAACAAGAAAGGCGCAGAGAAGAAAACAACUGUUUCUGCUGACCUAAAGUUCACAUCAAAGGGAAAGAAGCAAAAGGAGGUUUCGAAGGCAAGCAAUGAUUGUGAAACAUGUGGAGAUACUUUUGAGUCAAGGAGCAAGUUGUUUUCUCAUUUGGAAGAAACAGGUCAUGCUGUGAUCAAGGCACGACAGAAAAAGCGUUAA